AUUGUCGAUAGACCCUUAAGGAAAGGACUGUCAUGGAUUCAGUCACAGGGCCGGCUAACCCACAACCAGACUCAUUUUGUUGACUGCCUGGAUAUCAAAACCAAAGGCUGAGUAAAUUCAGAGCCCCGUCACACCUAAGAUGACCGGGGAGACCCAAACUGCAAAAGAGGCAUCAUGCAUGAUUAGAACUUGAAAAUUAGAAUUUCAACAUCUGGAUGACUGCUAGUUGGAGAAAAAUAUUCUACUUCCAGACUUUAUGAAUACUUUGAUCCUUGUUGAGGAUAACACUGGUACUGAGCUGCACAGACUGAAUCUGGAGGGCC
Long non-coding RNA from Mauremys reevesii (Reeves's turtle), 323 nucleotides. RefSeq lists it as uncharacterized. The record is from RefSeq and is a predicted model, not a curated record. The transcript is spliced from 4 exons. NCBI's taxonomy places the organism in Eukaryota, Metazoa, Chordata, Testudines, Geoemydidae.